RNAcentral lists this ribosomal RNA (305 nucleotides) under uncultured bacterium. RNAcentral describes it as "bacterial SSU rRNA". It matches the Rfam family "Bacterial small subunit ribosomal RNA", at positions 334 to 653 of the family's 1533-position model. The record is from RNAcentral.
GUCACCUACGGGGGGCAGCAGUGGGGAAUAUUGCGCAAUGGGGGCAACCCUGACGCAGCAACGCCGCGUGCAGGAAGAAGGUCUUCGGAUUGUAAACUGUUGUCGCAGGGGAAGAAGACAGUGACGGUACCCUGUGAGAAAGUCACGGCUAACUCCGUGCCAGCAGCCGCGGUAAUACGGGGGGUGCAAGCGUUGUCCGGAAUCAUUGGGCGUAAAGCGUUCGUAGGCGGCAAGGUAAGUCUGAUGUUAAAGCCCGGGGCUCAACUCCGGUUCGGCAUUGGAUACUAUCUAGCUAGAAUGUGGUA